AGAACGAACGCUGGCGGCGUGGAUAAGACAUGCAAGUCGAGCGCUGAUUAAAGGAUAGCAAUAUUCUUUAAUUGGAGCGGCGCAAGGGUGCGUAACACGUGGGUAAUUUGCCAUGAAGUUGGGGAUAACUCGCUGAAAGGCGAGCUAAUACCGAAUGUGGCCCGAUGGAGGCAUCUCUAUUUGGCUAAAGCUGGGGACCGCAAGGCCUGGCGCUACAUGAUAAACCCGCGGCCUAUCAGCUAGUUGGUGAGGUAACGGCCCACCAAGGCUAAGACGGGUAGCUGGUCUGAGAGGACGACCAGCCACACUGGAACUGAGACACGGUCCAGACACCUACGGGUGCAGCAGUCGAGUAAUUUUCACAAUGGGGAAACCCUGAUGGAGCGACGCCGCGUGGGGAUGAUGGCUUCGGCCCGUAACCCUGUCAUUUGUGUACUAAACCUUUUCAUUUAACAGACGAAAGCUGAUUGUAGCAGAAGAGGAAGGACGGCUAACGU
Molecule: ribosomal RNA, 497 nt
Filed under: uncultured bacterium
Lineage: Bacteria
Description: SSU rRNA
Rfam family: Bacterial small subunit ribosomal RNA
Source: RNAcentral